GACGAACCGUCCUAACGUUGUUCGGAAUCACUGGGCUUAAAGGGCGCGUAGGCGGCUUGCCAAGUCAGGGGUGAAAUCCUGCAGCUUAACUGUAGAAGGGCCUUUGAUACUGGCGAGCUCGAGGGAGGUAGGGGUAUGUGGAACUUCCGGUGGAGCGGUGAAAUGCGUUGAUAUCGGAAGGAACGCCGGUGGCGAAAGCGACGUACUGGACCUCGUCUGACGCUGAGGCGCGAAAGCUAGGGGAGCAAACGGG
This 253-nucleotide ribosomal RNA is filed under the name uncultured bacterium. RNAcentral describes it as "partial 16S ribosomal RNA". It matches the Rfam family "Bacterial small subunit ribosomal RNA", at positions 524 to 776 of the family's 1533-position model. The record is from RNAcentral.